AGAGUUUGAUCAUGGCUCAGGACGAACGCUGGCGGCGUGGAUUAGGCAUGCAAGUCGCACGAGAAACAUUCCUUCGGGAAUGCAGACAGUGGCGAACUGGUGAGUAACACGUGAACAACCUGCCCUUACAUUCCGGAUAGCCAGCCGAAAGGCUGGAUAAUACGGGCGAGGAUCACGUCAAGGCAUCUUGAUGUGAAGGAAGGCGCAAGCCGUGCAAGGAGGGGUUCGCGGACUAUCAGGUAGUUGGUGAGGUAACGGCCCACCAAGCCGACGACGGAUAGCUGGUCUGAGAGGAUGAUCAGCCACACUGGGACUGAGACACUGCCCAGACUCCUACGGGAGGCUGCAGUCGAGAAUCUUGGACAAUGUACGAAAGUAUGAUCCAGCGACGCCGCGUGGAGGAUGAAGGAGCUCUGCUUCGUAAACUCCUUUUAUGGGGGAAGAAGAUCUGACGGUACCCCAUGAAUAAGCCACGGCUAACUACGUGCCAGCAGCCGCGGUAAUACGUAGGUGGCAAGCGUUGUCCGGAAUUACUGGGCGUAAAGGGUGCGUAGGCGGAAGUUUAAGUAGAAAGUGAAAGGUUGGAGCUCAACUCCAACAUUGCUUCCUAUACUGGACAUCUUGAGUUUCGGAGAGGAAGAUGGAACGACACGUGUAGCGGUGAAAUGCGUUGAUAUGUGUCGGAACACCAAUAGCGAAGGCAAUCUUCUGGACGAACACUGACGCUGAGGCACGAAAGCAUGGGUAGCGAACAGGAUUAGAUACCCUGGUAGUCCAUGCCCUAAACGAUGUUCACUAGGUGUCGGGGAUUUUUCUUCGGUGCCGCAGCUAACGCAUUAAGUGAACCGCCUGGGGACUACGACCGCAAGGUUGAAACUCAAAGGAAUUGGCGGGGGCCCGCACAAGCGGUGGAGCAUGUGGCUUAAUUCGAUGCAACGCGAAGAACCUUACCAGGGUUUGACAUGUAGCUGCAAGCUGCCGAAAAGCAGUCGCUUUCGAAGGUGCUACACAGGUGGUGCAUGGCUGUCGUCAGCUCGUGUUGUGAAAUGUUGGGUUAAGUCCCGCAACGAGCGCAACCCUCAUGUUCUGUUGCCAGCGAGUAAUGUCGGGAACUCGGAACAAACUGCCUCUGUAAAGAGGAGGAAGGUGGGGAUGACGUCAAGUCUUCAUGCCCCUUACACCCUGGGCUGCACACAUGCUACAAUGGCCGGUACAAAGAGCAGCGAUACCGCGAGGUGGAGCAAAUCUCAAAAAGCCGGUCUCAGUUCGGAUUGGAGUCUGCAACUCGACUCCAUGAAGUCGGAAUCGCUAGUAAACGCCGGUCAGCAACACGGCGUUGAAUACGUUCCCGGGCCUUGCACACACCGCCCGUCAAGCCACGAAAGUUGGUCUCUCCCGAAGUCGCCGAGCUAACCGCAAGGAGGCAGGCGCCGAAGGAGCGGUCGAUGAUUGGGACUAAGUCGUAACAAGGUAACC
This 1476-nucleotide ribosomal RNA is filed under the name uncultured bacterium. RNAcentral's name for it is "16S ribosomal RNA". It matches the Rfam family "Bacterial small subunit ribosomal RNA". The record is from RNAcentral.